Molecule: ribosomal RNA, 254 nt
Filed under: uncultured bacterium
Lineage: Bacteria
Description: partial 16S ribosomal RNA
Rfam family: Bacterial small subunit ribosomal RNA
Source: RNAcentral
CACGUAGGGUGCGAGCGUUGUCCGGAAUUAUUGGGCGUAAAGAGCUCGUAGGCGGUGUGUCGCGUCGGCCGUGAAAACCUGCAGCUUAACUGUGGGCUUGCGGUCGAUACGGGCAUCACUGGAGUUCGGCAGGGGAGACUGGAAUUCCUGGUGUAGCGGUGAAAUGCGCAGAUAUCAGGAGGAACACCGAUGGCGAAGGCAGGUCUCUGGGCAUUAACUGACGCUGAGGCGCGAAAGCGUGGGGAGCAAACAGG